RNAcentral lists this transfer RNA (81 nucleotides) under Cronartium ribicola 11-2. RNAcentral describes it as "tRNA-His (GTG) (tRNA-His-GTG-3-1)". It matches the Rfam family "tRNA". Rfam says of the family: Transfer RNA (tRNA) molecules are approximately 80 nucleotides in length. Their secondary structure includes four short double-helical elements and three loops (D, anti-codon, and T loops). Lineage: Eukaryota; Fungi; Basidiomycota; Pucciniomycetes; Pucciniales; Coleosporiaceae. The record is from RNAcentral.
GACCGGAUAGCCUAGUGGUUAAAGGCAGCACAUCUAGCAUUGUGUCUGCUGAGAUCCCAGGUUCAAAUCCUGGUCUGGUCA